CCUACGGGUGGCAGCAGUGAGGAAUAUUGGUCAAUGGGCGCGAGCCUGAACCAGCCAAGUAGCGUGAAGGAUGACUGCCCUACGGGUUGUAAACUUCUUUUAUAAAGGAAUAAAGUGAGGCACGUGUGCCUUUUUGUAUGUACUUUAUGAAUAAGGAUCGGCUAACUCCGUGCCAGCAGCCGCGGUAAUACGGAGGAUCCGAGCGUUAUCCGGAUUUAUUGGGGUUAAAGGGAGCGUAGGUGGGUUGUUAAGUCAGUUGUGAAAGUUUGCGGCUCAACCGUAAAAUUGCAGUUGAUACUGGCAGUCUUGAGUACAGAUGAGGUAGGCGGAAUUCGUGGUGUAGCGGUGAAAUGCUUAGAUAUCACGAAGAACUCCGAUUGCGAAGGCAGCUGAC
This 394-nucleotide ribosomal RNA is filed under the name uncultured bacterium. RNAcentral describes it as "partial 16S ribosomal RNA". It matches the Rfam family "Bacterial small subunit ribosomal RNA", at positions 338 to 729 of the family's 1533-position model. The record is from RNAcentral.